Molecule: long non-coding RNA, 913 nt
Organism: Cyprinus carpio carpio
Lineage: Eukaryota; Metazoa; Chordata; Actinopteri; Cypriniformes; Cyprinidae
Source: Ensembl
GUAUUUAAACUGGUAUUUUGGCCACACCUCAAAUGUUGUCUUGACCAAUUAGAUACUGUCUUUUCUCAGGGUGUUGCAUUGUCUGUCCCACCCAUUCAUAAAUCAUAUGUUAUCUUAUCAAGCUCGUGGUCCGAAUUUUCCCGCUCUUGCAGGGUAUAAUUUGGACAUGAUUCCUAUAACAAGAAUAUGAUAAAUUUGACAAAUAACUGAUGGUCAGAAACGUUUCAAGCAAGAAGAUUCGAACACACACAUACUAAACAUGAAUAUGAUCCCUUAAGCUAUUCAAGAGUUAUUUAAAAAGACAUACACAAUAAGUGAUUAGAAACAUUAAAGUCAAAUGUGUGGGUUACAGGUAUAAAAUGGAGUUAAGCAAUGGACUGAUAUCCAUUUAGAAGUCUUUUUUUUUAGUUAAUUUUGGUGCAUAUAUGCAUUGGAAGGCAUUCUCUGUGCCAUUCUGGGGAGUAAGGAUAUCUCCUGUGAAGACCAGAGGGGUUAACAGGUCUCCUUAGGAAUUUCAGUCUGGUUCUGCUAGGUGGGGGGAAGUCAAUCCAACGAUCUUGGACUGUGGUGCUGGGAGUUGAUUUACAACAUCCUGCCUUUCUGUGGAAUUCGGCUCAUGUUUCAACCAGGCUCCCGAUCGAAUCUUUAAUUUGUCUGGUUCACGCUACAGUACUCAGACGAAAUGGCCCAGCCCUUAACCCAUUUCCCGCUAGGACUUCUCUUUAAAAAUGAAAACCAAACUGGUGACUUGCUGGAUGUGCUCCAGCACAUUCAAAAGGAGUAUGUAGCAAGAUCUCCUGAUGGGUUGGAGAAGAUUUUGGUCGGGGGUGAUAGGCUAACGGAAGGUAACAUCCGAAAUGUCCAAUGGGCCUUUGCCAAUGGGGAGACAGUGGAAACCGCCUGGAAGGCUUAG